AUAUUUUUUGCUCAGCUUCUCUGCCAAAUCUUGAACCGAGUAAGUGCAACAUCUGGGUGUUUUCACUAUGUCAUAUCUCUUGAGAUUCCGGACUUGGACCUAAUUGAUCACUACCCAAUUCUCACUGCUGUAGUUGGAAUUCUUCUAGCACUUUUAAAUGAUGAAUUAGAUUCAGAAAUUGAAAAAAAUCAUGUUCCUACUGUGGCGAAAGUAAUUUAUCUGAUCCUAGCUUCCAGCUCUGUUCCUUACAAUUCGUUCUUGGCAAUAACAAUUCGGAUCUUCGAUUUCGAGCAAAUGGUCGUAAAAAAGAAAGGAUAUUUUCCUUCCUGAGCUGUAAGAAGAUCAAAAUUUAUUCUCUCUGGAAACUUUCUUUUCAGUGUGGGGGAAGAUCAUGUUGACAACAAUCGAUAGUUGGAAAAGCGGGUGUAAAAAUUCUUGUUUUUAAAAAAACUGCCAUUUGGUGUAAAACUAACCUUAUUUGGAUUGCAUUUUGCAAAAAGGAACCACUAGCAUUGCAAUGAUGCUAAGAUUGUGCAACUUCAUCCUCUGCAAUAAAAUAGCGGAAAUCGUGAGAAACUAUGAAAUUUAGAUGGUAAUUUUUUGUCUUAAAUUUUCAGUUUUUAGCGAGUAAAAUGGAAACUAUUCAUGGAUAAUCGGGUAUUUUCCUCCAAGACAAAAGAAGUUGCACAAUCUUAGCAACAUUGCAAUGCUAGUGGUUCCUUUUUGCAAAAUGCAAUCCAUUUAAGGUGUGAUCUAUAAGAAAAUUUUGUUGGAAUAUCAAGUUAAAAUAUGCAAGUUUUAAUUGACUUUGGUAUAAUUAUUUAGGGUUUGGAUCGUUUAAGAGAAAAACAUUGCAUGUUUCGCGUCAUUCCUUGGAGUAAGAGAGAGACUUUGCUCCAAGAAAAUUUAAAGUUAUGAGGUGUAGAAAAUUCAUGAGCUUACAUGCAUUAAGAUUUUCUCAAUGUAAAUAUGUAGCUAUAUAAGUAACGUAAUUGGAGAUUAGAGAGGGAACUAAAAGGCAAAAAAAGAAUGUAAAAGUUAGAAUAUCAGAGGCAGAACCGCAUACAUAUUACAUUACUUCGCCCUUGAGAUGCUCCUCAUUACUAUACUGUAGCUGCAACCUUAACUGCUUCCUUAUUUGCCUACCAUUUCAUGAUGAGAGCUUAUAUUUGUAGUCACCCAAAAAAGGACACAAAUCUUUUUUCAUGGACUCAAUGUUCAGGAAUGAAAUAACUUGUUUCUUUCCAAAAGUUUUGCAGAAUCGGUCAUUUCUGCUUCUUUUCAAAGCAUUUUACAAUGACAAUGUUGGUAUCCAAUUACAAUAUGUUCACAUUCUCAUUUAAUGAAAUUCAGAAUCUGAUGAAAAUGCAAACACGAGGUCUGUUCGAUUAGAAACCGGAUUUUGGUCAUAACUAGCCCACAAUAGGUCCAAAUUAGGUUUUCUUGAACUUUCCUGAUAGCUGGAAAUAUACUUAAGAACGCUACGUUCACAAAUUUGAAGAAUCCUAAUUAGCUUCGUUGGUAUGUGGCUUGAGUAAGGCAACCUCAUGGGUGUUCUGCGAUUUUUAUGUUUGACCGAUUUUGCUUCUCUUUUUUCGGUCUUGCACUACAUUUUCAAACCCACAAAGAUGAUUGGAGUUUCGCCUCCAUAUCGUAGCCGUACACUCGAGUAUUGUCACCGAAAAUGAUCCUAUCCAAAAUGUAGGAUCAUUGUUAGAACGUUCAAGCAGCCAAAGGGAAAUCGAUAUUUGGUUGGAUUUUUGUUCAACGGACAACAAUCAAGGGACAAGUGUACCUGAAACUCGAUGCAUGUCUAUAUAUUCUAUCAACAUCGUAUGUACAAGAGCCUUCAGAAAUAUCGCACUGUUCAAAACGACCAUUUUCGAGCACUUUAGCCCCGCACUUCUUCCACGUGACAAAUGUUAGUUGCCAUUGAUGGUCGAUUUCCAUGCUCCUUAUCUUCAACGAACUCCUGUCCAGUUUUGAAUAUGUUAACCCACUCAAAACAGUGAGAUCAACUCAUACAAUGAUCUUGGUAAACUUUACUUAGCAUACCAAAAGUUUCGGUACAGGUAUUAUACCGAGUUUAAAACAUUUAAUGUUAAAUCUUUGCUCUAUCAGUGAUUGCAUGAUGAACAUCGCAGAACGCACCUGACUUACUCGUAUUCAAGAUGAUACAGAAUAAAUACUGAUCAAAGAAACAAAAUCUGUGAACGUAGCGUUCUUCAGUAUGUUAUCAGCUAUCAGUAAAAUUCAAGAAACCUAAUUCGGACGCAUUGUGGGCUAGUUAUGACCAAAUCCGGUUUCUAAUCUAACAGACCUUGUAAUAAUCUUGGUAAUGACAGAAUUACCUGCUAAAAAGUUCGUGGUUAGAAGUAAGUAACCAUUUUCAGGUCGUUUCUUAAUAUCAAUUAAUCUCUUUUCACUCAAAUUUUAGUUUUUCAUUAAUUUCUUCUUUCCGGUUUUUUUUUUUUUUUUUUUUUUUUUUUUUUUUUUUUUUUUAAUGUGCUGCAAUACAUUUUCAACUUUUACUGAAUCCAUAGUUGAUGAUUGUCUAAGUUUUACUGAUUAACAAGUGCAAUAUUGAAUCACUGACUUUGGCCAGUGGCUUUUCAGUUGUAAUACCUAUACAGGAAGUGCUCCCUCUUCCAAAGUUAGAAAAGAAAGAAAAUAAUAGGAUUUUCACUACAUAUCAGAUGUUAAGGUAUUUUUUUGUUUUUAUUUUAGAUCCUGAUGACAUUACUCCAGAAGAAAUCAAGAAAGUUCACAAAUGAUUCAUUUUCUUUCUCAGUGUUUACAAAAAAUGUCGGUUCAAAAGAAAUGAUGAUGAAGACAUGUGUCCGAUUUGUUAUGCCUAUCCAAUCUCAGCAACUUUAAACCUUGUGAUCACAAGUCUUGCAGGGUAAUAGUUCAUCCUCUAUUUUUGGCCUGUCUUUGUAAACAUCGUUUAAUUCCUCUCAUGAGGAACUGUUAACUGUGAAAACAGACUUACAAAUCGAUCAACUCAUCCGCUUGAAUGCUUUUUGACCAGGUACUCUGAUCUUGAUUAUUUGGGGACAGUCUUUUAUUUUGAUCAAUAGCAGGGCUAUCAUAAGGAUCAGAAAUUUUUUUCAUGGUGAAGGUUCACUGUUCCAAAAGCAAGAAAACAGCCCUCUUCAAAGCCUUAGAUCCGACAUAUUGAUAAUGGUUUUUGCCUGCCGCUUUUGACAGGCUGUAACUUUAAGCUGCUUUAAUGCUAACAAUGUGGCAGGGUUGGAGCGCUAAAGUGGAACUAAUACAUUGUUUCAGCUCUACAGAGUUUGAAAUUGUCAAGGCAGUCAACAAAAAUGGUAAUUUAUUGAAUGUGCAAACAGAAAUGAUUUGGCAA
RNAcentral lists this long non-coding RNA (3367 nucleotides) under Bemisia tabaci. RNAcentral describes it as "lncRNA ENSSWEETPG012609". The record is from RNAcentral. Lineage: Eukaryota; Metazoa; Arthropoda; Insecta; Hemiptera; Aleyrodidae.